This 331-nucleotide ribosomal RNA is filed under the name uncultured bacterium. RNAcentral describes it as "bacterial SSU rRNA". It matches the Rfam family "Bacterial small subunit ribosomal RNA", at positions 568 to 899 of the family's 1533-position model. The record is from RNAcentral.
UCCGUAGGCGGUGCGGCAAGUCGGAAGUGAAAUCUCAGGGCUUAACCCUGAGGCUGCUUCCGAAACUGCCGUGCUCGAGUGCGAGAGAGGCGAGUGGAAUUGCAGGUGUAGCGGUGAAAUGCGUAGAUAUCUGCAGGAACAUCCGAGGCGAAAGCGGCUCGCUGGAUCGCAACUGACGCUGAGGGACGAAAGCUAGGGGAGCAAACAGGAUUAGAUACCCUGGUAGUCCUAGCCCUAAACGAUCAGGACUGGGCGUGGGCCUCGUACGGGGCUCGUGCCGCAGCUAACGCGUUAAGUCCUGCGCCUGGGGAGUACGGUCGCAAGGCUGAAA